UCCCCGAAAACGACGCUGCCUUCGUAUGCGCUCCUCGUUCAAAUCCGAUCGCUCCAUAGAUCGAAGCAUCGGCCACUGCGACGGUGAUUACUUCCUCUGGUCUCCCCUGCUGCCUUCGAAACCCACCUCUCACCCUCCCCGAAUCCCAUCUCCCAAUGCCAUACCCCGAGAAAAACCCUAAAUCAAGAAUCGUUCCCGCCCGAUUCAUUUCAAGAAUCCGGUAUUGAAGUCAUAGUCCUUCUCUUGUCGAUCAAUUUGGGAAAAUCCUUGGCGAGGAAGCUCAUCAGCGUCUCCGAUGCUCGCUACGCUCCGAUCUCGCUUCCAUCUGCUGCCCUUCGUUAAUUUCAGUUUGAAAUAGCAAGCUCAGCGGCUGCAUGGAUCGGUGUGGAAUGUAAAUUCUGUAGUUUCAUCAAGGUGCUUAGUGAGUUUGGAAGUAGGCAUCCCCACCACCAUCACCGUAGCAGUUUUGAGGUCGAAGAUGUUGAUUACCGGACGAGUUAUCUUCAGGUAUGCAUAAAAACAAAUUAGCAAGGAACUGGUAAACACUCUUUAACAUUGUUAUCAUGAUCUGGAUUCUCACUCUUGCAGGGAAAUUAGUCAGGCCCAGAUUUUAUACAUAUGCAUAUAUAUCUUUUUCCAACUAGA
Molecule: long non-coding RNA, 645 nt
Organism: Musa acuminata AAA Group (dessert banana)
Lineage: Eukaryota; Viridiplantae; Streptophyta; Magnoliopsida; Zingiberales; Musaceae
Exons: 3
Source: RefSeq, a predicted model, not a curated record